GCCACCGAAAGGUGGUCUAAUACCUUAUAGUAUCCAUCUCGUAUGGAUUAAAGCUUUAUGCGCUUUGGGAGGGGCCUGCGUUUGAUUAGCUAGUUGGUGAGGUAAAAGCUCACCAAGGGCGACGACCAAUAGCUGGUUUGAGAGGAUGACCAGCCACACUGGGACUGAGAUACGGCCCAGACUCCUACGGGAGGCAGCAGUAAGGAAUCUUCCACAAUGGGGCAACCCUGAUGGAGCAAUACCGCGUGCAGGAUGAAGCGUUUCGGCGUGUAAACUGCUUUUAUCACCGAAGAUUAUGACUGUAGGUGAAGAAUAAGGACCGGCUAACUACGUG
This 334-nucleotide ribosomal RNA is filed under the name uncultured bacterium. Its description in RNAcentral is "bacterial SSU rRNA". It matches the Rfam family "Bacterial small subunit ribosomal RNA", at positions 147 to 507 of the family's 1533-position model. The record is from RNAcentral.